RNAcentral lists this ribosomal RNA (812 nucleotides) under Cutibacterium granulosum. RNAcentral's name for it is "bacterial SSU rRNA". It matches the Rfam family "Bacterial small subunit ribosomal RNA", at positions 58 to 883 of the family's 1533-position model. Lineage: Bacteria; Bacillati; Actinomycetota; Actinomycetes; Propionibacteriales; Propionibacteriaceae. The record is from RNAcentral.
CAAGUCGUACGGUAAGGCCCUUUCGGGGGUACACGAGUGGCGAACGGGUGAGUAACACGUGAGUAACCUGCCCACAACUUUGGGAUAACGCUAGGAAACUGGUGCUAAUACUGGAUAUGUGCUCCUGCUGCAUGGUGGGGGUUGGAAAGCUCCGGCGGUUGUGGAUGGACUCGCGGCCUAUCAGCUUGUUGGUGGGGUAGUGGCCUACCAAGGCGGCGACGGGUAGCCGGCCUGAGAGGGUGACCGGCCACAUUGGGACUGAGAUACGGCCCAGACUCCUACGGGAGGCAGCAGUGGGGAAUAUUGCACAAUGGGCGCAAGCCUGAUGCAGCAACGCCGCGUGCGGGAUGACGGCCUUCGGGUUGUAAACCGCUUUCAGCAGGGACGAAGCUUUUUGUGACGGUACCUGCAGAAGAAGCACCGGCUAACUACGUGCCAGCAGCCGCGGUGAUACGUAGGGUGCGAGCGUUGUCCGGAUUUAUUGGGCGUAAAGGGCUCGUAGGCGGUUGAUCGCGUCGGAAGUGGAAACUUGAUGCUUAACGUUGAGCGUGCUUUCGAUACGGGUUGACUUGAGGAAGGUAGGGGAGAAUGGAAUUCCUGGUGGAGCGGUGGAAUGCGCAGAUAUCAGGAGGAACACCAGUGGCGAAGGCGGUUCUCUGGACCUUUCCUGACGCUGAGGAGCGAAAGCGUGGGGAGCGAACAGGCUUAGAUACCCUGGUAGUCCACGCUGUAAACGGUGGGUACUAGGUGUGGGGUCCAUUCCCGGAUUCUGUGCCGUAGCUAACGCAUUAAGUACCCCGCCUGGGGAGUAC